Molecule: long non-coding RNA, 3896 nt
Filed under: Volvox carteri
Lineage: Eukaryota; Viridiplantae; Chlorophyta; Chlorophyceae; Chlamydomonadales; Volvocaceae
Description: long non-coding RNA (VCAR_LNC001173)
Source: RNAcentral
AACUGCUAGUAAAGCACGUAAUGACGAACACGUGAGGUAGGGGCAAACAACUCCAGGCCUGGCUUCUGCUCCCGACGUGUUCCGGCGCGUCCGGGUUCAAAUCCGCCUGCCGACCUCUCGGGGUGUUUGAGAGGUGAUGAAAUGGGAGGUGGCUCCCCAUCUUAUGGACGGUGUAGGACGUGAUAAAAUCAACUCGCGAGCUGACCAGGAACUAAGUUGACGCGCCGUUGAUCCGCUAGAUCUGGUUGGAUGCUGGUGGUGAGUUGCCAAACUCAAAGAGUACACGCUGAAGUCGGAUGGGGUGAAUGGCUUAGGGUGCCCCUCUAGCAGGGGAGAGCAGGGAAUUGCCUCGGGAAGGAGGCCACUGGUGAAGCUUAACCACCCUGUAACAACAUCAACAACCCCACGCUCGUCCGUCUUAACGAACAUCGCCGAAUCAGACUUCGAAGGAUAAAGACCCAGCUUGGCGAACUCUGCUGAUAGCUUUACAUACCAUGGCAGGCGGCUGGCAGAAGUUAAGGCCUGACUUCUGCUCCCAGUCGAUCCAGUCGACCCGGGUUCAAAUCCGCCUGCCAGCUCCUCGGGUAUUUGAGGAGUGAUGAAAUGGGAGGUGGCCCCCCAUCAUAUGGACGGUGUAGGACGUGAUAAUAUCAACUUGCGAGCUGACCAGGAACUAAGUUGAUGCGCCGUUGAUCCGCUAGAUUUGGUUGGAUGCUGGUGGUGAGUUGCCGAACCCAACGAAUACAUUCUGAAGUCGGAUGGGGUGACGGAUUAGGGUGCCCCUCUAGCAGGGGAGAGCAGGGACUGCCCCGGGAAAGGGGGCCGCUGGCGAAGUUAACCACCCUGUAAUAACAUACAUACCAGCAACGGGGUGCCUGCUUCAAACCGUAAAUAGACCUCUCCAGCUUGCACGCAAGCGACCGGUCACUGGAUGCAUACCCAGGCGGUUGCUCCAUCCACAACUCCUCCUUCAACUCGCCAUUCAAAAAUGCAGUAGACACAUCGAGCUGGUGCACCGUCAUGUUCCGCGCUGCGGCAACUGCUAGUAAAGCACGUAAUGACGAACACGUGAGGUAGGGGCAAACAACUCCAGGCCUGGCUUCUGCUCCCGACGUGUUCCGGCGCGUCCGGGUUCAAAUCCGCCUGCCGACCUCUCGGGGUGUUUGAGAGGUGAUGAAAUGGGAGGUGGCUCCCCAUCUUAUGGACGGUGUAGGACGUGAUAAAAUCAACUCGCGAGCUGACCAGGAACUAAGUUGACGCGCCGUUGAUCCGCUAGAUCUGGUUGGAUGCUGGUGGUGAGUUGCCAAACUCAAAGAGUACACGCUGAAGUCGGAUGGGGUGAAUGGCUUAGGGUGCCCCUCUAGCAGGGGAGAGCAGGGAAUUGCCUCGGGAAGGAGNNNNNNNNNNNNNNNNNNNNNNNNNNNNNNNNNNNNNNNNNNNNNNNNNNUUCAGACUUAUCUUGCUGUUUUUGUGUUUGUUCGGCGUUCAAGUCGUUGCCUUUUGCGUGUUUGUCUAUGGAAGGACCGGUCAUACAUUCUGCUAUGCCGCGUUGACUCACGGGCUUGACCUUCUUACGGCCCCUCAUAUCUAUUUUAUGAUCGAUAAUACUAAGUUCUGCACACUACGGAGCAAUCUGGCAGCAAUGGACGUUUUUGGCUGAAGGAAUGAAAAUGUACGGAUCGGCCUCACUUUGUUCCUUAUUUCCAAAGGCCAAAAAGGCCUCUUUAUUCCUUAAAAGUAAUAUAUUACUUAAAAAAAAAACACUGCCGUUGGGUCCUAUUACUGUGGCUACCAUUCACUGGUAUAUGAGUGUCGGUCAUUUCCAACACCCCCCCGUGAGCGACACUCCAUCGCUACGGGCCGUCCCGUGCCUCAUCCCGGUCUCCCAUUCUCUAGGCAACAGCCAGUGGGUAUCGAUCCGGCGACCUCUCGGCAGCGCAAUGCGCCAUUCGGGGCUCAUUUCUUAUUGACGAAUUGGCGACGGAGACAGCUAACGCUGAUUGUUAUUCCGGAAGGAUUGCCGGUGGCGAAGAUAUUUUGCACAAUAAAAUAUUACAAGUAAUGUAAAGAGUAUUAUUAGCGUUCGGCAGGACUUGAGGAGAUUCCUAUGAGGAAUACCGAUCGUAGUGAGAUAAACAAAUAAGCGCAGUCACCGCCCUAAAUACCGGCGCUAGCGGAAAACUCGUACAUUCCGCGAUCUAACUGCACGUACAUUCCGCGAUCUCACUGCGCCGUCCUGACGGUGCCCAAAUGUCUAUCACUUAGCUACAGUAUAUGCAUCGGUAGCCCAUAAGGUUCUGGGUUAAGUCUUCCCCAUUAGUCAGGCGCAGUCUCAGGGUCAAGACCCCUGGUUGACAACCAUACGAGUUGGGAGAGGACCGUUUCCUCAACAAAGGUCACGCACCUUGAAGACUUUCGCUAUUGCGGCUUUAAUUGCCCGGACCAUUUCCGGGUCUUCUGACGCAAUAAUGGUGUCAUCUACGUGCACCAAAGCAAUAACAGGCAGGCGGCUGGCAGAGGUUAAGGCCUGACUUCUGCUCCCGGUCGACCUGGGUUCAAAUCCGCCUGCCGACCUCUCGGGUGUUUGAGAGGUGGUGAAAUGGGAGGUGGCCCCCCAUCUUGUGGACGGUGUAGGACGUGAUAAAAUCAACUUGCGAGCUGUCCAGGAACUAGGUUGAGGCGCCGUUGAUCCGCUAGAUUUGGUUGGAUGCUGGUGGUGAGUUGCCAAACUCAAAGAGUACACGCUGAAGUCGGAUGGGGUGAAUGGCUUAGGGUGCCCCUCUAGCAGGGGAGAGCAGGGAAUUGCCUCGGGAAGGAGGCCACUGGUGAAGCUUAACCACCCUGUAACAACAUCAACAACCCCACGCUCGUCCGUCUUAACGAACAUCGCCGAAUCAGACUUCGAAGGAUAAAGACCCAGCUUGGCGAACUCUGCUGAUAGCUUUACAUACCAUGGCAGGCGGCUGGCAGAAGUUAAGGCCUGACUUCUGCUCCCAGUCGAUCCAGUCGACCCGGGUUCAAAUCCGCCUGCCAGCUCCUCGGGUAUUUGAGGAGUGAUGAAAUGGGAGGUGGCCCCCCAUCAUAUGGACGGUGUAGGACGUGAUAAUAUCAACUUGCGAGCUGACCAGGAACUAAGUUGAUGCGCCGUUGAUCCGCUAGAUUUGGUUGGAUGCUGGUGGUGAGUUGCCGAACCCAACGAAUACAUUCUGAAGUCGGAUGGGGUGACGGAUUAGGGUGCCCCUCUAGCAGGGGAGAGCAGGGACUGCCCCGGGAAAGGGGGCCGCUGGCGAAGUUAACCACCCUGUAAUAACAUACAUACCAGCAACGGGGUGCCUGCUUCAAACCGUAAAUAGACCUCUCCAGCUUGCACGCAAGCGACCGGUCACUGGAUGCAUACCCAGGCGGUUGCUCCAUCCACAACUCCUCCUUCAACUCGCCAUUCAAAAAUGCAGUAGACACAUCGAGCUGGUGCACCGUCAUGUUCCGCGCUGCGGCAACUGCUAGUAAAGCACGUAAUGACGAACACGUGAGGUAGGGGCAAACAACUCCAGGCCUGGCUUCUGCUCCCGACGUGUUCCGGCGCGUCCGGGUUCAAAUCCGCCUGCCGACCUCUCGGGGUGUUUGAGAGGUGAUGAAAUGGGAGGUGGCUCCCCAUCUUAUGGACGGUGUAGGACGUGAUAAAAUCAACUCGCGAGCUGACCAGGAACUAAGUUGACGCGCCGUUGAUCCGCUAGAUCUGGUUGGAUGCUGGUGGUGAGUUGCCAAACUCAAAGAGUACACGCUGAAGUCGGAUGGGGUGAAUGGCUUAGGGUGCCCCUCUAGCAGGGGAGAGCAGGGAAUUGCCUCGGGAAGGAGGCCACUGGUGAAGCUUAACCACCCUGUAACAACAUCAACUC